This is a long non-coding RNA of Anthonomus grandis grandis, 500 nucleotides long. RefSeq lists it as uncharacterized. The transcript is spliced from 3 exons. The record is from RefSeq and is a predicted model, not a curated record. Lineage: Eukaryota; Metazoa; Arthropoda; Insecta; Coleoptera; Curculionidae.
UGUCAUUCUAAUAUGUCAACAAAAAAUGUCAACCGAUAGCUUUCCAGACUCAUGGAAAACUGAAAAAUUUCGAAAAAGCGUGGAAUAUAAAUUAAUUAAUGAACUGAAAUGCUUUAAAUUAACUUGGAAAGAUGCAGGCAAAGAUAUUGAACAAGCAAUCUUUGAACAUUCCACAAAUAAGCUGCAGUAUCUGGGAUAUGUGGGCAAGAUUAUCAUACUUUUGAAAAAUAGAGUGGUCGUCAAAGAUGAGUGGUUAGAAAACCGCGUGACGGAAAUUUUGAAAAAACCGCCGCCAAGAUUACGUAAAGUACUUAGUCCCAAUGAAAUGGCCAAAUACAAUAUUGAAAUGAUGAAAAUCAGAUCUAAAAUACAACAAGAAUCUAUAUUAAAAAUAAAACCAUCAACCAGCACCAGCAAUAUUUCAAAAUAAAUUAGCUUCAAUUAUUAACAAUUAUUUUUAUGAGAUUGUAAAAAAUAUAAUAUAUGACUUGGAACUAUAA